AUCACACUUCCGAUCUCAAAAAUGUAGGCGGAUGAGGUCAUUAAGUGUAAAAAGCGAAAAGUGUCAGAAGGUAUGCUUGUCGUAUAUCAAACGAAAGGUCGUACAAAGAACAUUACGAAAGCAUCACUUCUACAGGAAAGACCUUUCAAUUGUUUUACAAACAAUUGAGAUACUAGUUUUUUUUUUUAAGGUCUUUCCCCUACAUGGGAAAGACCUUAUUGUUUUUCUAAUGUUUUUUUUUCUUUUCUUUUUUUUUUUUUUUUUUUUUUUUUCUUCCAACAUUUUUUUGACAUGCCCGCCUCUUGUUUCUGUUGAAGUUAUUAAGACCAAAUAUGGACCAUCGCUAGAUCUCACCAAGAUGUAUUACCAAAUGACCCUGUUAAGGAUUUCAUCAUCCCCUUUGGAAGUUAUCUCCCUUUUAUUGAUUUUUUUCAACAUGGCCUUCCCUCGUUGGUUUUAAAGAUAUCAUGACUUUAAUUGGACAUAAUGUAGAUCUCAUCAUGAUGUAUUACCAUGUGAGGCUGAAUAGGAUUUCAUCGUCCCCUAUGAGAGUUAUAUCCCCUUGAAACAAUUUCUUUCCUUUGCAUUUU
RNAcentral lists this long non-coding RNA (590 nucleotides) under Mytilus galloprovincialis (Mediterranean mussel). Lineage: Eukaryota; Metazoa; Mollusca; Bivalvia; Mytilida; Mytilidae. The record is from RNAcentral.